This 353-nucleotide ribosomal RNA is filed under the name Neotrygon kuhlii (spotted stingray). RNAcentral's name for it is "partial 12S ribosomal RNA". It matches the Rfam family "Bacterial small subunit ribosomal RNA", at positions 1027 to 1533 of the family's 1533-position model. Lineage: Eukaryota; Metazoa; Chordata; Chondrichthyes; Myliobatiformes; Dasyatidae. The record is from RNAcentral.
UGCUCUUUCCGCCUAUAUACCGCCGUCCGUCAGCUCACCCCAUGAGGGCUCAACAGUAAGCAUAAUGACCUUCUUUAUCCUCAAUACGUCAGGUCGAGGUGUAGCGAAUGAAGUGGGAAGAAAUGGGCUACAUUCUCUUUCUAAAGCACACGAACAGAAGUAUGAAAAACUUCUCAAAGGUGGAUUUAGCAGUAAGUAAAUUUUAGAACAUUAUACUGAAACCGGCUCUGGAGCGCGCACACACCGCCCGUCACUCUCCUCGAGAAAUCACCAUAAAUUAUAUAAAAAACUUUAAAAUAAAGAGGAGGCAAGUCGUAACAUGGUAAGUGUACUGGAAAGUGCACUUGGAUUAA